UACGGAGGGUGCUAGCGUUGUUCGGAAUCACUGGGCGUAAAGCGCGUGUAGGCGGUCCGUUAAGUCUGAUGUGAAAGCCCGGGGCUCACCCCCGGAAGUGCAUUGGAAACUGACGAACUCGAGUCCCGGAGAGGAGGGUGGAAUUCCUGGUGUAGCGGUGAAAUGCGUAGAUAUCAGGAGGAACACCGGUGGCGAAGGCGGCAUCCUGGACCGGCAUUGACGCUGAGGCGCGAAAGCUAGGGGAGCAAACGGG
Molecule: ribosomal RNA, 253 nt
Filed under: uncultured bacterium
Lineage: Bacteria
Description: partial 16S ribosomal RNA
Rfam family: Bacterial small subunit ribosomal RNA
Source: RNAcentral